AGGUCACAUUCCUUUUUGCAGACACUCACGCCUGGGGUCUGAGCUAUUUAUUGCAGACGCUCUGCUACCCACUUUCAUUUCCUGCAUGGUCUAGAUGGACACAGAUAGAGACAGAGUAGGGGUGGACUGUGACUCUCAUAACAGGGAUCCUAACAAUGGCUGCAUCCUUCCUGGAUCCUGCAGCUGAGGGACAGGUGGCAGGGAGGCCAGGCAUCAGCCUGGGACCAUGAUUUGGGCAGGAGGGAGCUGGGAUCAUGGUCUUGGAGGAUGGAGGAGGGAAAGGAUUGUCAAGAGAGGGAGAUGCAGAGGCUCCCUGGGUAACCAGGGCUCCGAUCACCUAUACACGUUCUCCACUCUUCAUCGAAGGUGCCUUUCUUGCAUCCCAACUCCAUCUCCCUCCUCCUCAGGAGUUCACCCUCAAAACAACAGCACACAGGGGAACUGUCCUCCUUUUAUUCAAGCAUCUAUGGUCAACACAUGGCUAAAAGGGGCCUGUGCUGUGCUCUGCUAACACAUUCCCUUUCCUCUGCAUAGUAUCCUGGGGCUGGGGGUAUCUUACCCCCAUUUCACAGAUAAGGGGACUUUCAUCCCCUUGGAGAGUAAAGGUGACGCACAGGUGGCCUUGGAAUCAGAAUUCCAUUCAGGGAUACUGACUACAGAGACUCCACUCUUUCCACCCAUGAUUCUUUUAUGCAUUCAUUCAAAAGUUAUUUUUGACCUUGCGCACAUGCAGCUGUUCUGCUAGGUGCUGGUGAGACAGAAAUAAGCAAAAUGGUCACAGAGCUUGUCCCCAUGUCCUCGCAUUUCAGGAGGAAGACAGAUCCCUCCCUCUCAAGGUAACCAGCACAUGACCUGGUGGUAAAUCACAGUCAUGGCCAUGGAAGAAUGACAGCUAUGUAGUUUGAGGACAGAGGUGUGAGGUGGUUGUGGGGAUGGGAUAUGGACUGUGUGACCAGCAAGCUGUCUCUGGGCAGGUGACAUUUAAACUGGAAGAGCAGGAAGAAAAGUAUUUAAGGAAAAAGGGAGAGCAAGGAUGAAGGCUGUGGGGUCUGAAACAGGAUCAGAGGGAAGGCAAGAGAAACUGGAGUAAAAUGAGGAGGGGAGAAGGAAGCUGUAAGGUCAGAGGGGUGGGAGGGCCCAGGUCCUGCAGGGCCUUGCAGACCAAGAUAAGGAGUCUGGAAUUUUUCCCGGGUGUGAUGGAGGGUUUUAAGAAAAUCAACAAGUCCCUUCUUUCAAGAUGCCUAUAUUUUCCUUUUAAAGCCACACCUGCAGCAUAUGGAAGUUCCCAGGCUAGAGGUGGAAUGGGAGCUGCAGCUGCCAGCCUAUGCCACAGCCACAGCAACAUCAGAUCUUUAACUCACUGAGUGAGGCCAGGGAUUGAACCUGCAACCUCAUGGAUAUUAGUCAAGUUCAUAACCCGCUGAGCCACAACAGGAACUCUCAUGCCCAUAUUUCAGAGCAGGAUUUCUUAACCUCAGUGCUGUUGACAUAGGGGCUGAGUAACUGUUGUAGGGGCCCAUUCAGGCUGGUCUGGGAUGAUGGUAUGUGCAGCAGCAUCCCUGACUUAUUCCCACUAGAAGCCAGCAGCAUCUCCCCCACCCCACCCCACCCCACGUCAUGAAAAUCUAACAUCUUAAGAUAUCACCAAACACCCCCACCCUCCUUGGGAACCAAUGACCCAACGCACCUGUGGUUUACUUGUUGCCAUCACAAAAUUUAAGGCUGGUGAUCUCUGGGGCCCUCCUCCACACAGGGACUGAGGAAUUGGGGCUCCACCACUUGGGAGCCCUCUGUUUCCACAUGACAUAUGGGGAAAAGAGAGGACAAGGCCUGGACCUGAGUAGGCCUACCAUUCCCCCCGACCCCUUCACCCCGGUCCAGGGGCCAGAAAUCAAUCCUGUGGCCCCACCUACCUGCAGGGAGGUGGGGGAACAUGCAAUCUCCUCUUGCAUUCAGGAUGUAGAAAUGGGUUUGGUGGCAUAAAGCAUUGCCUCUUCAUGAUGAACUCAGCUCACUGAAUGCUCACAACACCUGAGCAGGCAGGAGUUCCAUCUUUCCAGCACUUACUGUAACACACGCCAGUGGUCAGAGGAGGGCACCACAGGGAAGGCUACAGGCUGGGUCCCCUGGAUCUCAGCCUGAAGGUGAUCCACAUAGGUGAUGGCAGCAAUAGGUCCUGCCAGCAUUCCAGCCUCUUCUGCCAGCAAGAAGCCUGAGUUUUGUUUGGAGAGGUGAGGCCUCCCACCCAGGGUCGGCACGUGACCCAAGUCCCAGCCAAUGAGUGAGGUACCUUCUCAGGCCACCAGUCCUGGUUUAAGGUCACUUCAGCCUGCUUGGUCAGCAUAAGCCUCAAGAUUUGCUGAGGAUGCCAUGACAGAGACUUCCCUUUCCUCCGCUGGGUGUGGACCCAAUGCUGCUGGCAGCCAUCUUGUGAUGAUGAGGGAAAGCAGGUCUGAGAACGGAGAUAACUUGGAGAAAGUGGGGAGAUGGAGUAAAACCGGCUCCAGGUGACAUUUGUGCCCCUCUGUCUAACCUCCUUGGCAGUCAGACAUACCCAUGAACUUUCUAGUUAUACAAACCAGAAGUUCCUGUUUUUUGCCACUUGCGACCAGAAAAGCACUGAACAUCAUACAUUUCCCCUUCAAACCCAGAGAUACCUAGCAAAUGGGAAGAGGUUGGACCUACAGGAUAGACGACCUGUGGACCCAACUUUUAGGUAUGCCAGAAUUGGAAGCUGGAAGCUGAGAUCAAGGGCAGCUAGAAAUUGAAUUAUUUCUAGUAUCAGGAUAGAGUUGCCUGACAAGCCACCUUGACUUAGAAGCCCAAUUAAAGAAAAUAAUAUCCAACACUGGUCUGGCUUAUGAAUCACUAAUCUAACCUGACCACAACCCUAAGCAGUUACCUCUGAGAUCCCCAUUUUACAGAGUGAGGAGGUUCAGAGAGGCUAAGCAACCAACCCAAGGUCACCCAGCUAGAGAUGGGAGAUUUGAGAGCCAAAUUAGGUUUCUCUGACUCCAUAGCCACGUGUUGCACUGUGUGUGUGUGUGUUUAAUAUAAAUUCUAACAUCUUUCCUAAACUAGCCUUUUGUUUUCAUCCAAGGCUGAGAUUUAUCUGGCCAUCCAUGCUCGUCUCCAAAAGAAGGCUUGGGGAUGCCAGAGUGCCCCUCCCUUCAUCUCCCCCUCCUCGGGUCCUGUGUUUGGGUAACAGCGCCUUUGAUAGAGUACAUAUUUAAGCAUUCCCAGGGCCCAAAACAUCUGCUGUGGGAUGCUUGCCUUCUCUCCGGCAGGUGCGUGGCUCUGCGUGGGAGAGACAGCAGUGUGGAGAAGACUGCGCUAUAAACGUCAGAACGAUAUUCACACCCGACUGUCUAAGAAUUAACAAGCCUUUGGAGAACGGCUUUGGUCCCAGCUCCAGGCAUGGGAGAUACACCCCCUUCAGGGAUGGUGCAUCGUGGAGACCGCAUGGGGUUGUGUUUUGGAGGUGUGGGUGCGCAUGCACAUUCCUAUGCACACAGCCCCAUCAGGACCGAAGGAGCCCAGUAGAGCCCAGCGAGUGAGUCAGCUCCUGCCCCCACUGGGGGAGGGAAGCAGGGUGAUGGGGAUGUUUUCAGAUGGAACGCUGCUUCCUGCCACCUAAAGGUG
Molecule: long non-coding RNA, 3642 nt
Filed under: Sus scrofa (pig)
Lineage: Eukaryota; Metazoa; Chordata; Mammalia; Artiodactyla; Suidae
Description: lncRNA (ENSSSCG00000051869.1)
Source: RNAcentral